UACGGAAGGGGCAAGCGUUGUUCGGAAUCAUUGGGCGUAAAGGGCGCGUAGGUGGUUCUGUAUGUCUGCCGUGAAAGCGUACGGCUCAACCGUAUUUUGUCGGUAGAAACUGCAGGACUUGAGGCUGGGAGGGGCUGGUGGAAUUCCCUGUGUAGCGGUGAAAUGCGUAGAGAUGGGGGAGAACACUCGUGGCGAAGGCGGCCAGCUAGACCAGUUCUGACACUGAGGCGCGACAGCGUGGGGAGCAAACAGG
This 253-nucleotide ribosomal RNA is filed under the name uncultured bacterium. Its description in RNAcentral is "partial 16S ribosomal RNA". It matches the Rfam family "Bacterial small subunit ribosomal RNA", at positions 524 to 776 of the family's 1533-position model. The record is from RNAcentral.